Molecule: transfer RNA, 72 nt
Filed under: Physcomitrium patens
Lineage: Eukaryota; Viridiplantae; Streptophyta; Bryopsida; Funariales; Funariaceae
Description: Physcomitrella patens tRNA
Rfam family: tRNA
About the family: Transfer RNA (tRNA) molecules are approximately 80 nucleotides in length. Their secondary structure includes four short double-helical elements and three loops (D, anti-codon, and T loops). Further hydrogen bonds mediate the characteristic L-shaped molecular structure. tRNAs have two regions of fundamental functional importance: the anti-codon, which is responsible for specific mRNA codon recognition, and the 3' end, to which the tRNAs corresponding amino acid is attached (by aminoacyl-tRNA synthetases). tRNAs cope with the degeneracy of the genetic code in two manners: having more than one tRNA (with a specific anti-codon) for a particular amino acid; and 'wobble' base-pairing, i.e. permitting non-standard base-pairing at the 3rd anti-codon position.
Source: Rfam by way of RNAcentral
GGCUUUAUAGUCUAGUGGUUAGGACCUUGAACUUAGAAUCCAAAAACCUGAAUUUGGAUUUCAAUGGAGCCU